CUCUACAGAGAAGAUUAGCAUGGCCCUGUGCAAGGAUGACACACAAAUUCGUGAAGCGUUCUUUCUUUCU
Molecule: small nuclear RNA, 70 nt
Filed under: Alligator mississippiensis (American alligator)
Lineage: Eukaryota; Metazoa; Chordata; Crocodylia; Alligatoridae
Source: RNAcentral